UAUACCAUUACCAUUGUAAUAUUGUUAUAAGGCAUCGCUUUACUUACUGAACAUAAAAAAAAUCUUCAUCAUAAAAUUAAUUAAAUGUCAGAAUAGAAAAAAGUGUUUAGAGGGUCCAACCGUACAAACAAACAACUUUUACGUUUUUAACAUUUUCAUUUCUUCAAUAACCCCACAGUUGUUUUAAGCUAUUACUUAAGCGAGGGCUGCACAUGACAAUGUGGCUAGUAUACCCUUUAUAUACAUUUUGAAUAUGCAUAUGAAACCCAUUAUAUUAACGCUGGAAUAGCGGGAAUGCUUGUUUAUUAUAUUAAUUUAUUCUAUUGGAAUGAAUAAAUCUUUUUUCUGGACAUUUAAGAACGGCAUGAAACAAGUAGCUCUAAUAAAUUAAAUUGUUGGAUC
This is a non-coding RNA of Schizosaccharomyces pombe (fission yeast), 402 nucleotides long. NCBI's taxonomy places the organism in Eukaryota, Fungi, Ascomycota, Schizosaccharomycetes, Schizosaccharomycetales, Schizosaccharomycetaceae. The record is from the annotation of a GenBank genome assembly.